This 468-nucleotide ribosomal RNA is filed under the name uncultured bacterium. RNAcentral's name for it is "partial 16S ribosomal RNA". It matches the Rfam family "Bacterial small subunit ribosomal RNA", at positions 28 to 507 of the family's 1533-position model. The record is from RNAcentral.
GACGAACGCUGGCGGCGUGCUUAACACAUGCCAGUCGAACGGAAAGGCCCUGCUUUUGUGGGGUGCUCGAGUGGCGAACGGGUGAGUAACACGUGAGUAACCUGCCCUUGACUUUGGGAUAACUUCAGGAAACUGGGGCUAAUACCGGAUAGGAGCUCCUGCUGCAUGGUGGGGGUUGGAAAGUUUCGGCGGUUGGGGAUGGACUCGCGGCUUAUCAGCUUGUUGGUGGGGUAGUGGCUUACCAAGGCUUUGACGGGUAGCCGGCCUGGGAGGGUGACCGGCCACAUUGGGACUGAGAUACGGCCCAGACUCCUACGGGAGGCAGCAGUGGGGAGUAUUGCACAAUGGGCGGAAGCCUGAUGCAGCAACGCCGCGUGCGGGAUGACGGCCUUCGGGUUGUAAACCGCUUUCGCCUGUGACGAAGCGUGAGUGACGGUAAUGGGUAAAGAAGCACCGGCUAACUACGUG